This 385-nucleotide ribosomal RNA is filed under the name uncultured bacterium. RNAcentral describes it as "bacterial SSU rRNA". It matches the Rfam family "Bacterial small subunit ribosomal RNA", at positions 355 to 732 of the family's 1533-position model. The record is from RNAcentral.
UGGGGAAUUUUGGACAAUGGGGGCAACCCUGAUCCAGCAAUGCCGCGUGUGUGAAGAAGGCCUUCGGGUUGUAAAGCACUUUUGUCAGGAACGAAACGGUGGAGGCUAAUACCUUCUGCUAAUGACGGUACCUGAAGAAUAAGCACCGGCUAACUACGUGCCAGCAGCCGCGGUAAUACGUAGGGUGCGAGCGUUAAUCGGAAUUACUGGGCGUAAAGCGUGCGCAGGCGGUUGUGCAAGACAGAUGUGAAAUCCCCGGGCUCAACCUGGGAAUUGCAUUUGUGACUGCACGGCUAGAGUGUGUCAGAGGGGGGUAGAAUUCCACGUGUAGCAGUGAAAUGCGUAGAUAUGUGGAGGAAUACCGAUGGCGAAGGCAGCCCCCUGG